This 253-nucleotide ribosomal RNA is filed under the name uncultured bacterium. Its description in RNAcentral is "partial 16S ribosomal RNA". It matches the Rfam family "Archaeal small subunit ribosomal RNA", at positions 474 to 727 of the family's 1478-position model. The record is from RNAcentral.
UACCAGCACCCCGAGUGGUCGGGACGAUUAUUGGGCCUAAAGCCUCCGUAGCCGGUUCUACAAGUCUUCCGUUAAAUCCACCUGCUUAACAGAUGGGCUGCGGAGGAUACUAUGGAGCUAGGAGGCGGGAGAGGCAAGCGGUACUCAGUGGGUAGGGGUAAAAUCCGUUGAUCCAUUGAAGACCACCAGUGGCGAAGGCGGCUUGCCAGAAUGCGCUCGACGGUGAGGGAUGAAAGCUGGGGGAGCAAACCGG